This 21-nucleotide microRNA is filed under the name Picea abies (Norway spruce). RNAcentral's name for it is "pab-miR529p". Its record names the gene pab-miR529p. The record is from miRBase by way of RNAcentral. Lineage: Eukaryota; Viridiplantae; Streptophyta; Pinopsida; Pinales; Pinaceae.
CGAAGAGAGAGCGUACAGCCC